RNAcentral lists this ribosomal RNA (459 nucleotides) under uncultured bacterium. RNAcentral's name for it is "partial 16S ribosomal RNA". It matches the Rfam family "Bacterial small subunit ribosomal RNA", at positions 338 to 795 of the family's 1533-position model. The record is from RNAcentral.
CCUACGGGGUGCAGCAGUGAGGAAUAUUGGUCAAUGGCCGAGAGGCUGAACCAGCCAAGUCGCGUGAGGGAAGACGGCCCUACGGGUUGUAAACCUCUUAUGUCGGGGAGCAAAGCGAGUCACGUGUGACUCAUUGAGAGUACCCGAAGAAAAAGCAUCGGCUAACUCCGUGCCAGCAGCCGCGGUAAUACGGAGGAUGCGAGCGUUAUCCGGAUUUAUUGGGUUUAAAGGGUGCGCAGGCGGAGGUGCAAGUCAGCGGUCAAAUUGCGGGGCUCAACCCCGUACUGCCGUUGAAACUGCAGCCCUUGAGUGCGCGAGAAGUAUGCGGAAUGCGUGGUGUAGCGGUGAAAUGCAUAGAUAUCACGCAGAACUCCGAUUGCGAAGGCAGCAUACCGGCGCGCAACUGACGCUCAUGCACGAAAGCGUGGGUAUCGAACAGGAUUAGAUACCCGGGUAGUC